Non-coding RNA from Triticum aestivum (bread wheat), 133 nucleotides. The record is from Rfam. NCBI's taxonomy places the organism in Eukaryota, Viridiplantae, Streptophyta, Magnoliopsida, Poales, Poaceae.
CAUAUACUCCCCCCGUCCCAAAAUUUUGUCUUAGAUUAGUCUAGAUACGGAUGAUCUAAUACUAAAACGUGACAUUAUACAUCCACAUUUAGACAAAUGUAAGACAAGAUUUUUGGGACGGAGGGAGUACAUG